UACGUAGGGGGCAAGCGUUGUCCGGAAUCAUUGGGCGUAAAGCGCGUGUAGGCGGCUCGAUAAGUCCGCUGUGAAAGUCCAGGGCUCAACCCUGGGAUGCCGGUGGAUACUGUCGAGCUCGAGUCCGGAAGAGGAGUGUGGAAUUCCUGGUGUAGCGGUGAAAUGCGCAGAUAUCAGGAGGAACACCAAUAGCGAAGGCAGCACUCUGGUACGUGACUGACGCUGAGACGCGAAAGCGUGGGGAGCAAACAGG
This 253-nucleotide ribosomal RNA is filed under the name uncultured bacterium. RNAcentral describes it as "partial 16S ribosomal RNA". It matches the Rfam family "Bacterial small subunit ribosomal RNA", at positions 524 to 776 of the family's 1533-position model. The record is from RNAcentral.